CAACUCGGCAUUCAGCGAUGCCCUCCGGCACCGUCACCGAGCAGUGCCGUUUUAGUCGAUAGUCGUGAACUCGUGACUCGCGAUUCCGGUUAACUAAGCAGUUAAGUUAUAAGUGGCUUGCAAAUAGAUUAAAUUGCGUCGGCACGUUCGGCGAACUCCGGCGGGACCUCCAUUUAUCUGAUUUCCUCAGUGAUGACUAUAAAUGAUAGUACCUUUUUUUGUCCCGGUAUCGCGAACUGCGUUAGCAUUACUUCAUCCCAAAUUACUAAACUACUUACCGAUUAUCCUAAUUGUUUUAUAGUACAUGCACUAUGACGUAUUAUGUGCCUACCUUAAGCAUAUUUCAUAAAUUACUAUAAUAAUACACCUAGUGCCUACCGGGUAACCGUUCAGCGUUUUGCUGUCAGACAUUUUGUAAGGACUCAUAAGUCCUCGAGCAGACCAACAAAAUUUAAUGCACAUAGAAAUAUUUUAAUAGAAUUUUAUUUAAUUAUAGGGUAGCACAGAUUAUUAUGUAACGAAAUUUAUGUCUUCGCAUAUUAUGCAUUUUAGAAACUUAUACCUGUGUUUCGAACAUCGUGUCAGCGAUGGGAUAAAAUUUUUUUUUUAAACCGAGUUCACAGCUAUGUUGUUCCUCGUGCAGUUGUGUCCAAAAGUUAAGCUCAACUAUGGACAUUUCCUGGUAGACCAUGGUGAGUGAAUGAUACCAUUGAUACCAUGGCGACAGCGGUCAAUCAGAAUACGGUACAUCCACACGACGCGACAGAUGAUGUAGUUUGUGUGUUAAUUGUGUUUCAAAAUACAAAUGUAUGAUACGUAAAAUUAAUUAUUAUGAUAUUUAUUCGUAUUAAGUAUUCAAUAUUCAUGUUUUUAAAAAAUUUAUUUUUAGUUAUAUUUCAUCACAUUUAGUUUCUUUAAAUUUGUAUCAAACAUAUUAUUCAUAUCAUUAAUUUAUACAUAGUUUAUGCUAUCAAAAUACCAUUGAAUUAACAAAUCAUAAUUUAUAAAUAAAAUAAAAUGAUAAAUAAAUAAUUUAUUUAAACUUGAAUCGUAAAUUGCCUACACGAAACGCCGUCUGAAACAUUGUGCAUAAUAUUAUUAUGUUGGCCGUGGACCAAUAUUAAAGCUAGCUAUAGGAUCUUUUAUAACACUAUUUAAAUGACAUAUUUUUUUAUUUAAAACAUUCGAUAGGUUUAUUUAUACAGAUUCGUAAUUUAUAAAUAAUUAUUAAUUAUAAUUUAUAAUUUCCUUUACAAUUACUUAAAUGUAUUAAGAGGUGUGUUGUCUUCGCAUUUCCGUCUUACUAACUUAUAACAUGGCCAAUUGCACGUUUAGCGAAUAAUCCAUUUUACUUGAAUAUUUUAAUAUUGUGAAAAA
Molecule: long non-coding RNA, 1377 nt
Organism: Myzus persicae (green peach aphid)
Lineage: Eukaryota; Metazoa; Arthropoda; Insecta; Hemiptera; Aphididae
Exons: 2
Source: RefSeq, a predicted model, not a curated record